UGUGUCCACAUAUCUGCAAUGUGUUU
Molecule: non-coding RNA, 26 nt
Filed under: Mus musculus (house mouse)
Lineage: Eukaryota; Metazoa; Chordata; Mammalia; Rodentia; Muridae
Also listed under: 1 other name
Source: RNAcentral